AAAAAAAAGGGAGAAAGGGAUUUUUCUCUCUGGGGAAGCCCAGAAACCGGCCAGGAAAGCCACCGCGCCGUCACAGCUCCACCGCGCCGGCCACCGUACACGGUGGCCGGAAAUCGCCUUAGGUAAAAAAAAUUUCUCUCUUUUUUUGUAUUUUAUUAUACGCAUACAUAGAUGAGUGUAAAUCUGAAGAUAAAAAGAAACGAGAAAAUAUUAGAGACCUUGACUUGUUUUGCCGUUGUUCUCUUCUUCUUUCUCUUUUUUGCUAGUAGCGUUUCCGAUUUUAGGGCGUUUAAAUUUCCCCUUUUUGAUGUUUGAUCUAUGCUACUUAUGAGGUUUUAGCUUUUGUAUAUUGGUUGUUGAAAUCUUUUUUUGAGAUUUUUCGAAUUUUACACUGCUC
Molecule: long non-coding RNA, 397 nt
Filed under: Gossypium barbadense (sea-island cotton)
Lineage: Eukaryota; Viridiplantae; Streptophyta; Magnoliopsida; Malvales; Malvaceae
Description: long non-coding RNA (GBAR_LNC016811)
Source: RNAcentral